This 890-nucleotide ribosomal RNA is filed under the name uncultured Candidatus Poseidoniales archaeon. RNAcentral describes it as "bacterial SSU rRNA". It matches the Rfam family "Archaeal small subunit ribosomal RNA", at positions 20 to 918 of the family's 1478-position model. The record is from RNAcentral. Lineage: Archaea; Methanobacteriati; Thermoplasmatota; Candidatus Poseidoniia; Candidatus Poseidoniales.
GAGGCGACCGCUAUUGGAGUUCGAUUAAGCCAUGCGAGUAGAAAGAAAUUAGAUUCUUUGCAUACUGCUCAGUAACACGUGGAUAACCUGCCCUAUGCUGGGGGAUAAUCUCGGGAAACUGAGAAUAAUACCCAUAGGUCACCAUGCCUGGAACGGUUGGUGGCUCAAAGCCCCGGCGGCAUAGGAUGGGUCUGCGGCGUAUCAGGUAGUAGUGGGUGUAACGGACCCACUAGCCAUUGACGCGUACGGGUUGUGAGAGCAAUCGCCCGGAGAUGGAUCCUGAGACACGAAUCCAGACCCUACGGGGUGCAGCAGGCGCGAAAACUUCACACUGCAGGAAACUGUGAUGAGGGAACUCCAAGUGGUGCCACGAUAGUGGUACCUCUUCUUGACUCUUAAUAGGUCUUGGAAGAAGGGGUGGGAAAGACCGGUGCCAGCCGCCGGUAAUACCGGCACCCCAAGUGGUCGCCGCUUUUAUUGGGCCUAAAACGUCCGUAGCCUGUUUGGUAAGCCCGUGGGUAAAUCAACCAGCUUAACUGGUUGAAUUCUGCGGAGACUGCCAGACUAGGGACCGGGAGAGGUGUGGGGUACUCUUGGGGUAGGGGUAAAAUCCUGUCAUCCCAAGGGGACCACCUGUUGCGAAGGCGCCACACUGGAACGGAUCCGACGGUCAGGGACGAAGCCUAGGGGCACGAACCGGAUUAGAUACCCGGGUAGUCCUAGGUGUAAACGCUGUGGACUUGGUGUGGGGGGUCCGACAGGGGCUCCCUGUGCCGUAGCGAAGGUGUUAAGUCCACUGCCUGGGGAGUACGGUCGCAAGGCUGAAACUUAAAGGAAUUGGCGGGGGAGCACUGCAACGGGAGGAGCGUGCGGUUUAAUUGGAUUCACGC